CAACUCCACGCGUUGCAAUUCGUAGCGUUUAUCUUUUACAUUUUAGAAGUACAUGCGCUACAGCUCCACGCGUUGCAAUUCGUCUCGUAGCAAUUUCAUGUACGUCUAGCAAUGCACGUGCAAUUCGAUACGCUGUAUUUGACUCGUUGUGAUUUGACACGUUAUAUUUCUACACGUUGCAAUUCUAUACGUCACAAUGCAUCUUGUAGCACCCUUCCGUGUUACAUUGCAAUUCUAGGCGUGGCAAUAUCAAUGCAUAUAAGCUAUUAUCAAUGUACAUAUAGUGUCAAGCUUUCAAUAAACAAUUUUGGAAAGUACCGAGCUGCACAAUGAUAAGAGCGUAACAGCUGGAAGUACAAAAAUAGCAACAUAUCGAAAGUCUACUGUAUCUCGAUGUGCAUAAGCGUUGAAGGUCGUACGACAAGUUCAUUAUAAUCGAAAGUUACGAAAGAAGAAUUUUUGCUAAAAUUGGACUGGGAGUUUAAAAACAGAAGAUAUUGGGAAAAUAUAUGAAGAUUUAUAUUAAGGCUCAUUUAAAUAUUCACCGUUUCCUUUGGUACGUCAUUUUUGUCGCAAAGGAAAACAGGCCCACUGUGAAUAUUGUUAGCAUACAGGAAAGGUUACGUAAGCAAGUGCAUCAUAGCGUGAAGAUGACAAUAUUGGGAGGAUAAGCUGAAUACCUUGCGUAAUCGUAUUGAAUAGAAGAAAUGAAAGAAAUGAUCUCACCUGCUGCGGAUGCCAAGUAUGCUGAAAGAAGCUUUUGAAACACCUCAUACUGGAUGGCAUUCUUUUUCUCGUUGAUCACCGCAUUCUUAUCAAAAAGAAUUGCAGCACUUCACUGUGAAAAUUAAGAAUCUUACGAUUUGAUCAAACGACAGGCGUUAAAUGUACGCGGAAAUUAAGAGAGUAACUGCGAACGGUGUCGUAAGAUUACAAAGUGCAUUCGCAUCUGCACGAAUGAUCGCCAGGCGAAAGUUUUGAAGCGUACUCGACGGUGUGCGGUCAACAACUAAUGAAGUUCGAGCCGAUAGCAGCAACAACUCGCACGAAGCGUGUAACAUUGACUGUUGAAGCUCUCGUGUGACAUACAAAGAUCUUUUCAGCCUACUCCAAACCUACAUACAAUUAUUCGCGUACAAAUACUUGUGGAACAAAUAUUUACUCGUUUACAAAAACAGGAAAAUACGGAGACACAAACAUUUGUCCAGAACUCUGUUUACAAUGUUUCGUGUUGUAAUUAAAUGAUGCCAUCAACAAGACAUACAUUUGGUACAACUUCUGCUUACAUUUAAUUAGAGACAAUCUACUUUGUCAUGUUUUACAUUAUAAUUACAUAAUUAUUAUUGCAAUCGUUAAAUCAGUGUACUGUAUUUAAAAAU
Molecule: long non-coding RNA, 1379 nt
Organism: Megachile rotundata (alfalfa leafcutting bee)
Lineage: Eukaryota; Metazoa; Arthropoda; Insecta; Hymenoptera; Megachilidae
Source: RefSeq, a predicted model, not a curated record